CGGGAAGAGCUCAAAUUUAUAAUCUGGCGCUUUCAGCGUCCGAGUUGUAAUCUCUAGAAGUGUUUUCCGCGUUGGACCGCACACAAGUCUGUUGGAAUACAGCGGCACAGUGGUGAGACCCCCGUAUACGGUGCGGAUGCCCAAUGCUUUGUGAUACACUUUCGAAGAGUCGAGUUGUUUGGGAAUGCAGCUCAAAUUGGGUGGUAAAUUCCAUCUAAAGCUAAAUAUUGGCGAGAGACCGAUAGCGAACAAGUACCGUGAGGGAAAGAUGAAAAGCACUUUGGAAAGAGAGUUAACAGUACGUGAAAUUGUUGGAAGGGAAACGCUUGAAGUCAGACUUGCUAUUCGGGUUUACUCGAGUUGCAGGCCAGCAUCAGUUUUCCGGGGUGGAAAAUCACGGUUUGAAGGUAGCAACUUCGGUUGUGUUAUAGCUUUCCGUUGGAUACAUCCUGGGGGACUGAGGAUCGCAGUGUGCUUUUAGCAGGAGUUUCGGCUCCAUCACACUUAGGAUGCUGGUGUAAUGGCUUUAAACGACCCGUCUUGAAA
RNAcentral lists this small RNA (546 nucleotides) under unidentified. RNAcentral describes it as "eukaryotic LSU rRNA". It matches the Rfam family "Eukaryotic large subunit ribosomal RNA", at positions 99 to 659 of the family's 3401-position model. The record is from RNAcentral.